RNAcentral lists this transfer RNA (76 nucleotides) under Puniceicoccales bacterium. RNAcentral describes it as "tRNA-Ala". It matches the Rfam family "tRNA". From Rfam's summary of the family: Transfer RNA (tRNA) molecules are approximately 80 nucleotides in length. Their secondary structure includes four short double-helical elements and three loops (D, anti-codon, and T loops). Further hydrogen bonds mediate the characteristic L-shaped molecular structure. tRNAs have two regions of fundamental functional importance: the anti-codon, which is responsible for specific mRNA codon recognition, and the 3' end, to which the tRNAs corresponding amino acid is attached (by aminoacyl-tRNA synthetases). tRNAs cope with the degeneracy of the genetic code in two manners: having more than one tRNA (with a specific anti-codon) for a particular amino acid; and 'wobble' base-pairing, i.e. permitting non-standard base-pairing at the 3rd anti-codon position. Lineage: Bacteria; Pseudomonadati; Verrucomicrobiota; Opitutia; Puniceicoccales. The record is from RNAcentral.
GGGGUCGUAGCUCAGUUGGUAGAGCGCCUGCUUUGCAAGCAGGAGGCCGUCGGUUCGAGUCCGAUCGGCUCCACCA